This 593-nucleotide ribosomal RNA is filed under the name uncultured Bacteroidota bacterium. Its description in RNAcentral is "bacterial SSU rRNA". It matches the Rfam family "Bacterial small subunit ribosomal RNA", at positions 851 to 1453 of the family's 1533-position model. Lineage: Bacteria; Pseudomonadati; Bacteroidota. The record is from RNAcentral.
GCGAAAGCAUUAAGUGAUCCACCUGGGGAGUACGGCCGCAAGGUUGAAACUCAAAGGAAUUGACGGGGGCCCGCACAAGCGGAGGAGCAUGUGGUUUAAUUCGAUGAUACGCGAGGAACCUUACCUGGGCUAGAACGCAAGACGAUUUCCCGUGAAAGCGGGAUUCCCUUCGGGGCGGCUUGCGAGGUGCUGCAUGGUUGUCGUCAGCUCGUGCCGUGAGGUGUCGGGUUAAGUCCCAUAACGAGCGCAACCCCUAUCAUUAGUUGCCAUCAGGUCAUGCUGGGGACUCUAGUGAAACUGCCUGCGCAAGUAGAGAGGAAGGUGGGGAUGACGUCAAAUCAGCACGGCCCUUACGUCCAGGGCUACACACGUGCUACAAUGGUCGGUACAAUGGGUCGCUACCUGGUGACAGGAUGCCAAUCUCAAAAACCGAUCUCAGUUCGGAUCGAAGUCUGCAACUCGACUUCGUGAAGUUGGAUUCGCUAGUAAUCGUACAUCAGCAAUGGUACGGUGAAUACGUUCCCGGGCCUUGUACACACCGCCCGUCAAGCCAUGGAAGCUGGGGGUACCUGAAGUCCGUGACCGCAAGGAGC